RNAcentral lists this transfer RNA (66 nucleotides) under Apatides fortis. RNAcentral describes it as "tRNA-Arg". The record is from RNAcentral. Lineage: Eukaryota; Metazoa; Arthropoda; Insecta; Coleoptera; Bostrichidae.
AAGUAAGAAACAAUACAUUGUAUUUAGUUUCGACCUAAAAUUAAGGUGAUAGCAACACCCUUACUU